This 497-nucleotide ribosomal RNA is filed under the name uncultured bacterium. RNAcentral describes it as "partial 16S ribosomal RNA". It matches the Rfam family "Bacterial small subunit ribosomal RNA", at positions 28 to 507 of the family's 1533-position model. The record is from RNAcentral.
GAUGAACGCUGGCGGCGUGCCUAAUACAUGCAAGUCGAGCGAACAGACGAGGCGCUUGUUCCUCUGACGUUAGCGGCGGACGGGUGAGUAACGCGUGGAUAACCUACCUAUCAGACUGGGAUAACUUCGGGAAACCGGAGCUAAUACCGGAUAAUAUCUUGAACCACAUGGUUCAAUAGUGAAAGACGGUUUUGCUGUAUCUUAUAGAGGCAUCCCCGCCGCUUUAGCUAGUUGUGAAGGUAACGGCCUACCAAGGCAACGAUGCGUAGCCGACGUGAGAGGGGGAUCGGCCACACUGGAACUGGGACACGGUCCAGACUCCUACGGGAGGCAGCAGUAGGGAAUCUGCCGCAAUGGGCGAAAGCCUGACGGAGCAAGGCCGCGUGAGUGAUGAAGGUCUCGGGAUCGUAAAACUCGGUUAUUAGGGAAGAACAAAUUUGGAAUUAACUAUGCACGUAGUGACGGUACCUAAUCAGAAAGCCACGGCUAACUACGUG